GUGGGGAAUAUUGGGCAAUGGAGGCAACUCUGACCCAGCCAUGCCGCGUGGGUGACGAAGGUCUUCGGAUUGUAAAGCCCUUUCGGCGGGGACGAUGAUGACGGUACCCGCAGAAGAAGCCCCGGCUAACUUCGUGCCAGCAGCCGCGGUAAUACGAAGGGGGCUAGCGUUGUUCGGAAUUACUGGGCGUAAAGGGCGUGUAGGCGGCCCGUUAAGACAGGUGUGAAAUUCCUGGGCUCAACCCAGGACGUGCGCCUGUGACUGGCGGGCUUGAGUCCGGGAGAGGAUGGUGGAACUCCCAGUGUAGAGGUGAAAUUCGUAGAUAUUGGGAAGAACACCCGUGGCGAAGGCGGCCAUCUGGACCGGUACUGACGCUAAGGCGCGACAGCGUGGGGAGCAAACAGGAUUAGAAACCCGAGUAGUCC
Molecule: ribosomal RNA, 425 nt
Filed under: uncultured bacterium
Lineage: Bacteria
Description: bacterial SSU rRNA
Rfam family: Bacterial small subunit ribosomal RNA
Source: RNAcentral